Molecule: ribosomal RNA, 539 nt
Filed under: Torulaspora delbrueckii
Lineage: Eukaryota; Fungi; Ascomycota; Saccharomycetes; Saccharomycetales; Saccharomycetaceae
Description: partial large subunit ribosomal RNA
Rfam family: Eukaryotic large subunit ribosomal RNA
Source: RNAcentral
AUGCGUAGUACGCGAGUGAGCGCAGCUCAAUGAAUCUGGUACCUUCGUGUCGAGUGGUAUUGUAGAGGUACUUGGGCUGGUCUGUCUAUGUUCUUGGACAGACGUCAUAGAGGGUGAAGAUCCGGUGUGGCGAGGAUCCAGUUCUUUGUAAGUGCUUUCGAAGAGUCGAGUUGUUUGGAAUGCCAGCUCCUAAGUGGGGUGGUAAAUCAUCUAGCUAAAUAUUGGCGAGAGACCGAUAGCGAACAAGUACAGUGAUGGAAAGAUGAAAAGAACUUUGAAAAGAGAGUGAAAAAGUACCGUGAAAUUGUUGAAAGGGAAGGGCAUUUGAUCAGACAUGGUGUUUUGCGCCCUCUGCUCCUUGUGGGUGGGGGAAUCUCGCAGCUCACUGGGCCAGCAUCAGUUUUGGCGGCAGGAUAAAUCUGCAGGAAAUGUAGCUUGCCUCGGUAAGUGUUAUAUCCUGUAGAAAUACUGCCAGCUGGGACUGAGGACUGCGACUUUACGUCAAGGAUGCUGGCAUAAUGGUUAUAUGCCGCCCGUCU